This 497-nucleotide ribosomal RNA is filed under the name uncultured bacterium. RNAcentral's name for it is "partial 16S ribosomal RNA". It matches the Rfam family "Bacterial small subunit ribosomal RNA", at positions 28 to 507 of the family's 1533-position model. The record is from RNAcentral.
GAUGAACGCUGGCGGCGUGCCUAAUACAUGCAAGUCGAGCGAACGGACGAGAAGCUUGCUUCUCUGAUGUUAGCGGCGGACGGGUGAGUAACACGUGGAUAACCUACCUAUAAGACUGGGAUAACUUCGGGAAACCGGAGCUAAUACCGGAUAAUAUUUUGAACCGCAUGGUUCAAAAGUAAAAGACGGUCUUGCUGUCACUUAUAGAUGGAUCCGCGCUGCAUUAGCUAGUUGGUAAGGUAACGGCUUACCAAGGCAACGAGGCAUAGCCGACCUGAGAGGGUGAUCGGCCACACUGGAACUGAGACACGGUCCAGACUCCUACGGGAGGCAGCAGUAGGGAAUCUUCCGCAAUGGGCGAAAGCCUGACGGAGCAACGCCGCGUGAGUGAUGAAGGUCUUCGGAUCGUAAAACUCUGUUAUUAGGGAAGAACAUAUGUGUAAGUAACUGUGCACAUCUUGACGGUACCUAAUCAGAAAGCCACGGCUAACUACGUG